AGACUCCCUAACUUUGUGCAGUUUGCAGUUGUGGCACUGACAUAUGGGCCAGACACAUUUGGCCCACAUGUUAGUGCCACAACUGCAAACUACAUAAAGUCAGGGGAUCU
This 110-nucleotide microRNA precursor is filed under the name Oryza sativa (Asian cultivated rice). Its description in RNAcentral is "miR1847 stem-loop (osa-MIR1847)". The record is from miRBase by way of RNAcentral. Lineage: Eukaryota; Viridiplantae; Streptophyta; Magnoliopsida; Poales; Poaceae.